AGAACGAACGCUGGCGGCAUGCCUAAUACAUGCAAGUCGAACGAACUCUUCGGAGUUAGUGGCGCACGGGUGCGUAACGCGUGGGAAUCUGCCCUUGGGUUCGGAAUAACAGUUGGAAACGACUGCUAAUACCGGAUGAUGACGAAAGUCCAAAGAUUAUCGCCCAGGGAUGAGCCCGCGUAGGAUUAGCUAGUUGGUGAGUAAAGGCUCACAAGGCGACGAUCCUUAGCUGGUCUGAGAGGAUGAUCAGCCACACUGGGACUGAGACCACGGCCCAGACUCCGUACGGGAGGCAGCGAGGUAGGGGAAUAUGGACAAGUGGGACGAAAGCCUAGAUCCAGCAAUGCCGCGUGAGU
Molecule: ribosomal RNA, 356 nt
Filed under: uncultured soil bacterium
Lineage: Bacteria
Description: bacterial SSU rRNA
Rfam family: Bacterial small subunit ribosomal RNA
Source: RNAcentral